AACACGUGAAGAAUCUGCCUUCCACUUUGGGAUAACACCGUUGAAACCGGUGCUAAUACCGAAUAUUGAAAUAUAAGUGGCAUCACUGAAUUUUGAAAGAAUUUCGGUGGAGGAUGACAUCGCGGCCUAUCAGCUUGUUGGUGAGGUAAUGGCUCACCAAGGCUACGACGGGUAUCCGGCCUGAGAGGGCGACCGGACACACUGGGACUGAGACACGGCCCAGACUCCUACGGGAGGCAGCAGUGGGGAAUAUUGGGCAAUGGACGAAAGUCUGACCCAGCGACGCCGCGUGAGGGAUGAAGGCCUUCGGGUUGUAAACCUCUUUCAGUAGGGAAGAAGCGAAAGUGACGGUACCUAAAGAAGAAGCACCGGCUAACUAUGUACCAGCAGCCGCGGUAAUACAUAGGGUGCAAGCGUUGCCCGGAAUUAUUGGGCGUAAAGAGCUCGUAGGUGGUUUGUUGCGUCGGGUGUGAAAUUCAGGGGCUCAACCCCUGACCUGCACUCGAUACGGGCAGACUGGAGUUUGGUAGGGGAGACUGGAAUUCCUGGUGUAGCGGUGGAAUGCGCAGAUAUCAGGAGGAACACCAAUGGCGAAGGCAGGUCUCUGGGCCAAUACUGACACUGAGGAGCGAAAGCGCGGGGAGCGAACAGGAUUAGAUACCCUGGUAGUCCGCGCCGUAAACGAUGGGCGCUAGUUGUGGGGACCUUCCACGGUUUCUGCGACGCAGCUAACGCAUUAAGCGCCCCGCCUGGGGAGUACGAUCGCAAGA
RNAcentral lists this ribosomal RNA (770 nucleotides) under uncultured Actinomycetes bacterium. RNAcentral's name for it is "bacterial SSU rRNA". It matches the Rfam family "Bacterial small subunit ribosomal RNA", at positions 112 to 893 of the family's 1533-position model. The record is from RNAcentral. Lineage: Bacteria; Bacillati; Actinomycetota; Actinomycetes.